GAUGAAGAACGUAGCGAAAUGCGAUAAGUAAUGUGAAUUGCAGAAUUCAGUGAAUCAUCGAAUCUUUGAACGCACAUUGCGCCCAUUAGUAUUCUAAUGGGCAUGCCUGUUCGAGCAUCAUUUCAACCCUCAAGCCUUAGUUGCUUGGUGUUGGGAGCUUAUCCUGCCGGAAGGCGGGACAACUCCUUAAAUUUAUUGGCGGAGUCGCGGUGACCCCAAGCGCAGUAAUUCUUUUUUUCUCGCUUUAGGUGUUAUCGCUGGCUUCUAGCCAUUAAACCCCCCCUAUUUUUUAAUGGUUGACCUCGGAUCAGGUAGGACUACCCGCUGAACUUAAGCAUAUCAAUAAGCGGAGGA
RNAcentral lists this unclassified non-coding RNA (354 nucleotides) under soil metagenome. RNAcentral describes it as "partial contains 5.8S ribosomal RNA, internal transcribed spacer 2, and large subunit ribosomal RNA". The stretch from base 1 to 120 matches the Rfam family "5.8S ribosomal RNA", at positions 35 to 154 of the family's 154-position model. The record is from RNAcentral.